AUUAACGUGAGGGGAAUCUGAAGGAAGGUGGAGGCAAAUCUCUGGUCUGACGAACAGAAAUCACAUAAGGCUAUUAUUGAGGACAAGACUGCCAGACAAGUCAAAGUCCAAUAACUACUCGGAAUUAAUGAUAGUAAAUGUGGCAGAUAUAUGGAGAGAAAGAAACGUGU
Firmicutes bacterium CAG:227 is the source of this 170-nucleotide non-coding RNA. The record is from Rfam. Lineage: Bacteria; Bacillati; Bacillota.